This 468-nucleotide ribosomal RNA is filed under the name uncultured bacterium. RNAcentral describes it as "partial 16S ribosomal RNA". It matches the Rfam family "Bacterial small subunit ribosomal RNA", at positions 28 to 507 of the family's 1533-position model. The record is from RNAcentral.
GACGAACGCUGGCGGCGUGCUUAACACAUGCAAGUCGAACGGAAAGGCCCUGCUUUUGUGGGGUGCUCGAGUGGCGAACGGGUGAGUAACACGUGAGUAACCUGCCCUUGACUUUGGGAUAACUUCAGGAAACUGGGGCUACUACCGGAUAGGAGCUCCUGCUGCAUGGUGGGGGUUGGAAAGUUUCGGCGGUUGGGGAUGGACUCGCGGCUUAUCAGCUUGUUGGUGGGGUAGUGGCUUACCAAGGCUUUGACGGGUAGCCGGCCUGAGAGGGUGACCGGCCACAUUGGGACUGAGGUACGGCCCAGACGCCUACGGGAGGCAGCAGUGGGGAAUAUUGCACAAUGGGCGGAAGCCGGAUGCAGCAACGCCGCGGUCGGAAUGACGGCCUGCGGGUUGUAAACCGCUUUCGCUUGUUACGAAGCGGUAGUGACGGUAAUGGAUAAAGAAGCACCGGCUAACUACGUG